RNAcentral lists this ribosomal RNA (463 nucleotides) under Flavobacteriaceae bacterium. RNAcentral describes it as "bacterial SSU rRNA". It matches the Rfam family "Bacterial small subunit ribosomal RNA", at positions 618 to 1086 of the family's 1533-position model. The record is from RNAcentral. Lineage: Bacteria; Pseudomonadati; Bacteroidota; Flavobacteriia; Flavobacteriales; Flavobacteriaceae.
AAAUUGCUGUUGAUACUGCUCGACUUGAAUAGUAUGGACGUAAUUAGUAUAUGUAAUGUAGCGGUGAAAUGCGUAGAUAUUACAUGGAAUACCAGUUGCGAAGGCAGAUUACUACGUACUUAUUGACACUGAUGAACGAAAGCGUGGGUAGCGAACAGGAUUAGAUACCCUGGUAGUCCACGCCAUAAACGAUUGAUACUAGCUGUUCGGUCUUCGGAUUGAGUGGCUAAGCGAAAGUGAUACGUAUGCCACCUGGGGAGUACGUUCGCAAGAAUGAAACUCAAAGGAAUUGACGGGGGCCCGCACAAGCGGUGGAGCAUGUGGUUUAAUUCGAUGAUACGCGAGGAACCUUACCAAGGCUUAAAUGUAGAUUGACAGGUUUAGAGAUAGACUUUUCUUCGGACAAUUUACAAGGGGCUGCAUGGUUGUCGUCAGCUCGUGCCGUGAGGUGUCAGGUUAAGUC